RNAcentral lists this long non-coding RNA (921 nucleotides) under Cyanistes caeruleus (blue tit). RNAcentral describes it as "lncRNA (ENSCCEG00000007368.1)". Lineage: Eukaryota; Metazoa; Chordata; Aves; Passeriformes; Paridae. The record is from RNAcentral.
UGUAUUUUGCCUUUUUCUAUCUGCAUUUUAUUUACAUCCACAUUGUAUUUUCUAUCUACAUUCUAUAUGACAUAUAAUUUUAUUAUAUUAUAUAUUAGAACAUUUUAUUUUCUAUUUACAUUAUAUUUCACAUCUACAUUUUACACUUAAAUUGUAUUUUUUACCUACAUUGUCAUUCAUGUCUACAUCAUAUUUCACAUCAAUGCAAUAUUUUACACCUACAUUAUAUUUUACAUUAUAUUCCACGUCUCCCUUGUAUCUCACACCUACAUUUUAUUUCUAAUCUAUGUUAUAUUUUAAAUUUCCAUGACCAAAAGCUCAAAGGGACAGAGGAAGAAAUCUGGUGGAGCAGACUGCUGAAAAAUUACUGUGCUAAAAAAAUCCCUAAAAAUCAGGAUUUUCCCUUAUGGACUGAAAGAAGCCCUAUUAAAAUCCUAUCUUCUGGAAAGCGUCAGAGAGGCAGGAGGCUUGAAGUGUCCAAGAUCAAAGAGAGGAAAAGCAUUUGCUGCUGGGAAGUGAGGCACACAUCUUUCCUCCCUUGCAAUAAGCUCAUUAAUCUGGCAUGGCAGUGGCUGAUCUGGGGACAUCACACCUUCAAAUGCACUUCAAAUAUCUGGAAGGCCUGUGGUGCUACUGGACGAGGAGCUGAUCCUACGUGGACCUAUGUGAGGACAGCUAAGAGGAUUGGGAUCUUCCCAGUAAUUCCUGCAAAUAAUAAAAUAUCCCACAAAAAUGCUGGAAAAUAUGAAAAGGUCAAUGAAGCAGGGGAAAAGAGCGAUCCAAUGCUUUUUGUGUUGUGUUUUUUUUUCCUUCCCUUUAGGAACAAUGCAUUAUCUGAAAAUCCCACUUUAUAGCUUGGAAUUUGUUUUUGUGUUGGUGACUUUCAGUCACUGAAUAAAGUGCGACCACAGAAAUCGGACA